This 1097-nucleotide long non-coding RNA is filed under the name Panax ginseng (ginseng). RNAcentral's name for it is "long non-coding RNA (PGIN_LNC012549)". The record is from RNAcentral. Lineage: Eukaryota; Viridiplantae; Streptophyta; Magnoliopsida; Apiales; Araliaceae.
UCACAAUAAGUAAUGAAUCUAAACGAGUUGAAUGAAUGAACACAUGUAAAUUACAAACGAAUUACGAAUAGAUCAAAAUUUAAGAGUCCAUUUACAAAUGACUAACACUGUCAAUCGAAUAAUUAUAGCCAAAAGAAUCCCAAACAAAUAAGGCCGAAUCAAAUGGUUGUAAGAUAACAAUUUCAUACUGAGCUCAAAUACAAAUACAUCGGUACCAUGAUGUAUACAAAUCAAAUCGGAUAGUACGCACGACACAUACGUCAAUAAUCUGCCAAACAAAUCGAAUCAAAUCAAAUACUGGGUCGACCCAUACGUAUCCUGAACAAAUAUAUCAAAUGGCCAAAGCUCAUACUCCGAGCAUACAAAAGAAUACGCCGUGGACUGAUCACACCGCCAUGGAAGGUGUCAUGCCCUUGUGUCAAGAGGACAUGCCUGUGGUACCCCCACAGGUGGUUAGCUCAAAUAUACCCUAAUGAUCAAACUACAAAAUGUAAGCCAAAAGGGGUUCAAAUCACAAUGCUUACAUGGCCAUAUUCAAAUGAAAUCGAAUUAUCAAAUACAAACAUACCCAAUUGUUACAAGAUAUCAAUGAUCAAAACAACUCCGAAUGUGAACGAAAAUAUACGAACAAUAGUACAAACAAAUAGUCUCCAAAACAUAUUGACACGAUUAACUAGUUCAAAUAGUACAAAUACGAAUUUAAAUAUCAACGCCAAAACGAAACUAUCUCAAUAAUUUUGACAAGGAAUAAUCCCGAGAGGCAAUACCAAAUUUCUAAACGAGUACAAAACGAACGAAUUAAAUUUAAAGGAAUAUCGCUGAAAAAGUACGGAAUCCGUACCUUAAUGUAGUACCAAAUAAUUCGCCGAAUCCAACUAUCACCCGCUAAACUCCUCCAAUCCGAUCUAAUUAUCAAAAUAAAAUAUAAAGCAUAUAAUUAAAUUACGAACUCAUACAAAUUAUAUUUUCACAAAUUUAAUAAUUUUAAUAUACUAUAUUCAGUUUGUACUCAAAAGAUAUAUUUUAACUAUAAUAAUAAUAUUAUAAUAUUAUUUACUACUAUCCCCUUUUUAAAUUUUUGCAUAUCUUAUAUAUAU